UUUAAUUUGUUUCAAGUGACAUAUAAGCAAUAAAUAUAGUUGCAUGCAAUAAAAAUGCCUUAAGUGAUUCUAAAAGUGGUGGCCAAAUGAUAUCAUAAUUAUACAAUUUACGGAACGCUUCGAAAGCCACUAGACAUGUACACUAUGUUUCUGAUGUAUCUACUUGAUACAAAUCAAAAAUACUAAAAAGGAACAAUUUACAGACACUGUGUCCUAUCAAUGUAUCUACUUGAUACAAACUAAAUUAUCCUUAAAAUACACAAUUUACAGACACUGUGUCCUAUCAAUGUAUCUACUUGAUACAAACUAAAUUAUCCUUAAAAUACACAAUUUACAGACACUGUGUCCUAUCAAUGUAUCUACUUGAUACAAACUAAAUUAUCCUUAAAAAGACACAAUUUACAGACACUGUGUCCUA
This 418-nucleotide long non-coding RNA is filed under the name Mytilus galloprovincialis (Mediterranean mussel). Lineage: Eukaryota; Metazoa; Mollusca; Bivalvia; Mytilida; Mytilidae. The record is from RNAcentral.